This 802-nucleotide ribosomal RNA is filed under the name uncultured bacterium. Its description in RNAcentral is "bacterial SSU rRNA". It matches the Rfam family "Bacterial small subunit ribosomal RNA", at positions 70 to 849 of the family's 1533-position model. The record is from RNAcentral.
AAAGUCUCCUUCGGGGGACGAGUAGAGUGGCGCACGGGUGAGUAACACGUAGGUAAUCUACCUUUGGAUUGGGAAUAACCACCGGAAACGGUGGCUAAUACCGAAUAAUGCAGCGGCACCUAAUGGUGACAGUUGUUAAAGCGGGGGAUCGCAAGACCUCGCGUCUGAAGAGGAGCCUGCGGCGGAUUAGCUAGUUGGUAAGGUAACGGCUUACCAAGGCGACGAUCCGUAGCCGGCCUGAGAGGGCGGUCGGCCACACUGACACUGACAUACAGGUCAGACUCCUACGGGAGGCAGCAGUCGGGAAUUUUGGGCAAUGGGCGAAAGCCUGACCCAGCAACGCCGCGUGAAGGAUGAAAUCCCUCGGGAUGUAAACUUCGCAAGAACGGGAAGAAUAAGCUUUAGUUAAUAUCUGAAGCGAUGACGGUACCGUUUGUAAGCUCCGGCUAACUCCGUGCCAGCAGCCGCGGUAAUACGGGGGGAGCAAGCGUUGUUCGGAUUUACUGGGCGUAAAGGGCGCGUAGGCGGUCAGCACAAGUCAGUUGUGAAAUCUCCGGGCUUAACUCGGAAAGGUCAACUGAUACUGUGCGACUAGAGUGCGGAAGGGGCAACUGGAAUUCUUGGUGUAGCGGUGAAAUGCGUAGAUAUCAAGAGGAACACCUGCGGCGAAGGCGGGUUGCUGGGCCGACACUGACGCUGAUGCGCGAAAGCCAGGGGAGCGAACGGGAUUAGAUACCCCGGUAGUCCUGGCCUUAGACGAUGAAUGCUUGGUGUCUGGGGUUAUAAAGUCCCCGGGUGCCGU